GACGAACGCUGGCGGCGUGCUUAACACAUGCAAGUCGAACGGAAAGGCCUGCUUUCCCUUGUGGAUUGCGGGUGCUCGAGUGGCGAACGGGUGAGUAACACGUGAGUGAUCUGCCCCCAACUUGGGUAUAAGCCUGGGAAACUGGGUCUAAUUCCCGAUAGGACUGCAGGGUGGUGCCUGUGGUGGAAAACGAUUUUCUAGUGGUUGGGGAUGAGCUCGCGGCCUAUCAGCUUGUUGGUGGGGUAAUGGCCUACUAAGGCGGCGACGGGUAGCCGGCCUGAGAGGGUGGACGGCCACAUUGGGACUGAGAUACGGCCCAGACUCCUACGGGAGGCAGCAGUGGGGAAUAUUGCACAAUGGGCGGAAGCCUGAUGCAGCGACGCCGCGUGGGGGAUGACGGCCUUCGGGUUGUAAACUCCUUUCGACCGCGAGGAAGCCACCUGGUUGGAAGGGUGGUGACGGUAGUGGUAGAAGAAGCACCGGCUAACUACGUG
Molecule: ribosomal RNA, 494 nt
Filed under: uncultured bacterium
Lineage: Bacteria
Description: partial 16S ribosomal RNA
Rfam family: Bacterial small subunit ribosomal RNA
Source: RNAcentral